This is a long non-coding RNA of Amphiprion ocellaris (clown anemonefish), 1090 nucleotides long. RefSeq lists it as uncharacterized. The record is from RefSeq and is a predicted model, not a curated record. The transcript is spliced from 2 exons. Lineage: Eukaryota; Metazoa; Chordata; Actinopteri; Pomacentridae.
GUUGUUUAUCAGCACAAUACAAAAAGAUUAAUGUUAGAAAUAUUCCAGUUAAGACUCUAGAAUAUCAUGAUUUAUGUAAAUUUACCUCAAUAAAAUGAAUGUUCAGGUUAAGAUUGUACAGUGAAAUUUAUAAUGUAAGUUUAGCUGAUUAAAGUUUAUGACUCUGCACUACAAUAUUAUUUAUUAUUUAAAUUUACAUCAUUAUUAUAAUAUUUAGGGUCAGACCCGACAGUAUUGAGAUUAAGAAAUCAAAUAUUCUAUAAAAUGUAAAUACACUGAACUCAUUUGGAUCUAUUUAAGUGAGACUCUACAAUAUUAUUUGACACAAAUCUAUCUAAAUCAAAAUUUUAAUCAUUUUUACUCCAAACAUUUACUGGACUGAUUUAAACAUUAAAAUCACUCCUUUCUAAUCCUCUGCUGUACGUUCAAACCUGAGGCCUUAAAUAGAAACACACAAGUAUCUGAUUGAAGGAACUUCUGCAGAGUCCUGGUUCCACAACAUGAUGAUAGAAUUAUAGACAAACUUUGACAAAAGCUGCCUGAGAGUUUACAGGUUUUUAUGUUGGAUUUCUUCAGUAAUUUAAUUAGAGUUUUCAGCAAUAAUCAAGUGUUCAUUUGAUUAACUUCAUUUCCUAAAACAUCCAGAAUUGGAGCUCAUAUCUUUGGCAGCUGUAAAGUUUCUGCUCCUUCAAAGUUCACAACACAAUGAAUGAAUUCCUAAAACACUCUCAAUGCUGGAGAGCGUUUGUGAUGCUGAAGCAGUGACCAGUUUUUCUGUUUCUUCUCUGGAGAUGCACAAUGAGGGACGUCUGCAGAGACUGAGAAAGAGUCUCACCACAUCCUGACAUGAGGAAAAAGAUUUUAUUGAAGACUACAAUGAGAAAAACUAUCAGACAGCAGACGGCUGCAUUCAAGAGAGGAAGACCAUCAAACAUCCACAUCAGCUGAUGGAGGUCCAAGAGUCUCACCCAACAAACAACCUACAGAGUGAAGACCUCCAAUCUGAUUGGAUGGCCUCCUAUUCAGCCACGUGUGAACAAAUGCCUCUAAGUUGAUUUGUUUUCUAAAAUAAAUCUAGUUUGAGUCCUAA